This 492-nucleotide ribosomal RNA is filed under the name uncultured bacterium. RNAcentral's name for it is "partial 16S ribosomal RNA". It matches the Rfam family "Bacterial small subunit ribosomal RNA", at positions 29 to 507 of the family's 1533-position model. The record is from RNAcentral.
AGUGAACGCUGGCGGUAGGCCUAACACAUGCAAGUCGAACGGCAGCACAGUAAGAGCUUGCUCUUACGGGUGGCGAGUGGCGGACGGGUGAGGAAUACAUCGGAAUCUACUUUUUCGUGGGGGAUAACGUAGGGAAACUUACGCUAAUACCGCAUACGACCUACGGGUGAAAGCAGGGGAUCUUCGGACCUUGCGCGAUUGAAUGAGCCGAUGUCGGAUUAGCUAGUUGGCGGGGUAAAGGCCCACCAAGGCGACGAUCCGUAGCUGGUCUGAGAGGAUGAUCAGCCACACUGGAACUGAGACACGGUCCAGACUCCUACGGGAGGCAGCAGUGCGGAAUAUUCGACAAUGGGCGCAAGCCUGAUCCAGCCAUACCGCGUGGGUGAAGAAGGCCUUCGGGUUGUAAAGCCCUUUUGUUGGGAAAGAAAAGCAGCAGGUUAAUACCCCGCUGUUCUGACGGUACCCAAAGAAUAAGCACCGGCUAACUUCGUG